CUCCUACGGGUGGCAGCAGUGGGGAAUCUUGGGCAAUGGGCGAAAGCCUGACCCAGCGACGCCGCGUUGGGGAUGAAGCCCUUCGGGGCGUAAACCCAUGUUGUAGGGGACGAAGAAAGUGACGGUACCCUACGAGAAAGCCCCGGCCAACUACGUGCCAGCAGCCGCGGUAAAACGUAGGGGGCGAGCGUUGUCCGGAAUUACUGGGCGUAAAGGGCACGCAGGCGGUACGCCAAGUCGGAGGUGUAAAGUUACGGCUCAACCGUGACCUUGCAAUCGAUACUGGCGUACUGGAGUGCGGGAGAGGGAAGUGGAAUUCCCGGUGUAGCGGUGAAAUGCGUAGAUAUCGGGAGGAACGCCAGUGGCGAAGGCGGCUUCCUGGCCCGCAACUGACGCUCAUGUGCGAAAGCCAGGGGAGCGAACCGGAUUAGAUACCCGAGUAGUCCCC
This 448-nucleotide ribosomal RNA is filed under the name uncultured Acetomicrobium sp. RNAcentral describes it as "bacterial SSU rRNA". It matches the Rfam family "Bacterial small subunit ribosomal RNA", at positions 336 to 798 of the family's 1533-position model. Lineage: Bacteria; Thermotogati; Synergistota; Synergistia; Synergistales; Acetomicrobiaceae. The record is from RNAcentral.